GGGCACAUGGUGUAGUUGGUUAUCACAUCCGCUUAGCAUGGUCAUUCGUGCUGGUAUUGCGGGGGGUGCUGGGUUCAAUUCCCAGUGUGUCCA
Molecule: non-coding RNA, 93 nt
Organism: Marasmius oreades (fairy-ring Marasmius)
Lineage: Eukaryota; Fungi; Basidiomycota; Agaricomycetes; Agaricales; Marasmiaceae
Source: the annotation of a RefSeq genome assembly